GAUGAACGCUAGCGGGAGGCCUAACACAUGCAAGCCGAGCGGUAGAGUCUCUUCGGAGACUUGAGAGCGGCGCACGGGUGCGGAACACGUGUGCAACCUGCCUUUAUCUGGGGGAUAGCCUUUCGAAAGGAAGAUUAAUACCCCAUAAUAUACUGGAUGGCAUCAUCUGGUAUUGAAAACUCCGGUGGAUAGAGAUGGGCACGCGCAAGAUUAGAUAGUUGGUGAGGUAACGGCUCACCAAGUCAGCGAUCUUUAGGGGGCCUGAGAGGGUGAUCCCCCACACUGGUACUGAGACACGGACCAGACUCCUACGGGAGGCAGCAGUGAGGAAUAUUGGACAAUGGGUGAGAGCCUGAUCCAGCCAUCCCGCGUGAAGGACGACGGCCCUAUGGGUGGUAAACUUCUUUUGUAUAGGGAUAAACCUAGAUACGUGUAUCUAGCUGAAGGUACUAUACGAAUAAGCACCGGCUAACUCCGUG
RNAcentral lists this ribosomal RNA (479 nucleotides) under uncultured bacterium. RNAcentral's name for it is "partial 16S ribosomal RNA". It matches the Rfam family "Bacterial small subunit ribosomal RNA", at positions 28 to 507 of the family's 1533-position model. The record is from RNAcentral.